Molecule: transfer RNA, 74 nt
Filed under: Planctomycetaceae bacterium
Lineage: Bacteria; Pseudomonadati; Planctomycetota; Planctomycetia; Planctomycetales; Planctomycetaceae
Description: tRNA-Ile
Rfam family: tRNA
About the family: Transfer RNA (tRNA) molecules are approximately 80 nucleotides in length. Their secondary structure includes four short double-helical elements and three loops (D, anti-codon, and T loops). Further hydrogen bonds mediate the characteristic L-shaped molecular structure. tRNAs have two regions of fundamental functional importance: the anti-codon, which is responsible for specific mRNA codon recognition, and the 3' end, to which the tRNAs corresponding amino acid is attached (by aminoacyl-tRNA synthetases). tRNAs cope with the degeneracy of the genetic code in two manners: having more than one tRNA (with a specific anti-codon) for a particular amino acid; and 'wobble' base-pairing, i.e. permitting non-standard base-pairing at the 3rd anti-codon position.
Source: RNAcentral
GCGCGCGUAGCUCAGUUGGUUAGAGCGCCACCCUGAUAAGGUGGAAGUCCCUGGUUCGAGUCCAGGCGCGCGCA